UACGAAGGGGGCUAGCGUUGUUCGGAUUUACUGGGCGUAAAGCGUGCGCAGGCGGUUGUGUAGACAGAUGUGAAAUCCCCGGGCUCAACCUGGGAACUGCAUUUGUGACUGCACAGCUGGAGUGCGGCAGAGGGGGAUGGAAUUCCGCGUGUAGCAGUGAAAUGCGUAGAUAUGCGGAGGAACACCGAUGGCGAAGGCAAUCCCCUGGGCCUGCACUGACGCUCCAUGCACGAAAGCGUGGGGAGCAAACAGG
This 253-nucleotide ribosomal RNA is filed under the name uncultured bacterium. Its description in RNAcentral is "partial 16S ribosomal RNA". It matches the Rfam family "Bacterial small subunit ribosomal RNA", at positions 524 to 776 of the family's 1533-position model. The record is from RNAcentral.